This 821-nucleotide ribosomal RNA is filed under the name uncultured beta proteobacterium. RNAcentral's name for it is "bacterial SSU rRNA". It matches the Rfam family "Bacterial small subunit ribosomal RNA", at positions 38 to 857 of the family's 1533-position model. The record is from RNAcentral. Lineage: Bacteria; Pseudomonadati; Pseudomonadota; Betaproteobacteria.
GGCGGCAUGCCUUACACAUGCAAGUCGAACGGUAACAGGUCUUCGGAUGCUGACGAGUGGCGAACGGGUGAGUAAUACAUCGGAACGUGCCCAGUCGUGGGGGAUAACGCAGCGAAAGCUGUGCUAAUACCGCAUACGAUCUACGGAUGAAAGCGGGGGAUCGCAAGACCUCGCGCGAUUGGAGCGGCCGAUGGCAGAUUAGGUAGUUGGUGAGGUAAAGGCUCACCAAGUCUGCGAUCUGUAGCUGGUCUGAGAGGACGACCAGCCACACUGGAACUGAGACACGGUCCAGACUCCUACGGGAGGCAGCAGUGGGGAAUUUUGGACAAUGGGCGCAAGCCUGAUCCAGCAAUGCCGCGUGCAGGAUGAAGGCCUUCGGGUUGUAAACUGCUUUUGUACGGAACGAAAAGGCUUCUUCUAAUAAAGGAGGCUCAUGACGGUACCGUAAGAAUAAGCACCGGCUAACUACGUGCCAGCAGCCGCGGUAAUACGUAGGGUGCGAGCGUUAAUCGGAAUUACUGGGCGUAAAGCGUGCGCAGGCGGUGAUGUAAGACAGUUGUGAAAUCCCCGGGCUUAACCUGGGAACUGCAUCUGUGACUGCAUCGCUGGAGUGCGGCAGAGGGGGAUGGAAUUCCGCGUGUAGCAGUGAAAUGCGUAGAUAUGCGGAGGAACACCGAUGGCGAAGGCAAUCCCCUGGGCCUGCACUGACGCUCAUGCACGAAAGCGUGGGGAGCAAACAGGAUUAGAUACCCUGGUAGUCCACGCCCUAAACGAUGUCAACUGGUUGUUGGGAAUUCACUUUCUCAGUAACGAAGCUAACG